Molecule: ribosomal RNA, 492 nt
Filed under: uncultured bacterium
Lineage: Bacteria
Description: partial 16S ribosomal RNA
Rfam family: Bacterial small subunit ribosomal RNA
Source: RNAcentral
AGUGAACGCUGGCGGUAGGCCUAACACAUGCAAGUCGAACGGCAGCACAGUAAGAGCUUGCUCUUACGGGUGGCGAGUGGCGGACGGGUGAGGAAUACAUCGGAAUCUACUUUUUCGUGGGGGAUAACGUAGGGAAACUUACGCUAAUACCGCACACGACCUACGGGUGAAAGCAGGGGAUCUUCGGACCUUGCGCGAUUGAAUGAGCCGAUGUCGGAUUAGCUAGUUGGCGGGGUAAAGGCCCACCAAGGCGACGAUCCGUAGCUGGUCUGAGAGGAUGAUCAGCCACACUGGAACUGCGACACGGUCCAGACUCCUACGGGAGGCAGCAGUGGGGAAUAUUGGACAAUGGGCGCAAGCCUGAUCCAGCCAUACCGCGUGGGUGAAGAAGGCCUUCGGGUUGUAAAGCCCUUUUGUUGGGAAAGAAAAGCAGCAGGUUAAUACCCCGCUGUUCUGACGGUACCCAAAGAAUAAGCACCGGCUAACUUCGUG